AUUUUCUCUCCUAAGAAACCCCAGUCGCUCUCUCCCUUUGUGAGUCCUAAAGGAAAACUCCAUAUGGGGGGAGGAGGGAGAAGCGACAAUGCUUCUCCUCCCCCUCCUCUCUUCUCGUCUUUUUCUUUUAUGUUAGUGAAUAAGUCCACUGGGGCGUUUUGAAAAAAAGUCCCUUAUGGUGGUUUCUUUUGAGCACUGGUUAGAUUAAAGUUCUCCAUCACUCAUUUUAGUCUAUGUUCUCAAUCAAAUCAUACCAAAAUCCGCUCCCUGACGUCGCUCAUGUUCAUUAAAUUUGAUUCUACAUCGUCAUUGACAGAGGUUGCUUCAAAUCACCCAAUUAUUCUUUGGCAAAGUUGUUGUUUUCGUUUAUUUGUUCACUCUUAUGCGCAGGUAGAUCGUUGGAAAUCAUAUUUUCCCUAGAUCUGUUACGGAUGCGGUAGUGGGUGAGGCCGCGACGGUGCUUCAUCAGGUGGUGGUGGUAGGGUUAGUCUAGGCUCAUGGGUUAUUUUAGAGUUUUGGUUAUGUUGACUUUGUGGGCUUUGUUUGGGCUUAUGAUUAACUUGGUUCAGUUUUUUGUUGAUUUAUAAUCAAAAGCAGACAUUCGGCUUCAAUGGGAGGGAUUCGAAACCCGUUGGAUGUACUUUCUGGCUGGAGGCAAGUCAAACUCCUAGCAGAGAUUAAGCUCACCUUUCGAGUAUUGGGACACCUCGUAAUAUUUACCAAAAAAUUAGACAUGUAUGGGACGUCGACCAAACUUGUCCCUAUCAUAAGUGGCACAAAACAUUUGGCUCAAGUACCUUAAAUUGACAUUUUUGUAUGUUUGUGAGUUUGGAAGUAAUUGAUGUAGAA
RNAcentral lists this long non-coding RNA (849 nucleotides) under Prunus dulcis (almond). RNAcentral's name for it is "sRNA ncRNA". Lineage: Eukaryota; Viridiplantae; Streptophyta; Magnoliopsida; Rosales; Rosaceae. The record is from RNAcentral.